GUCCUUUAGAUAUUAAUUUAAGGUCUAACCUGCCCACUGAAAUAUUUUAAAUGGCCGCAGUAAUUUGACUGUGCAAAGGUAGCAUAAUCAUUAGUUUUUUAAUUAAAAGCUUGUAUGAAAGGUUGGACGAAGUAAAAUCUGUCUCUAAUUAAAUUAAUUUAGAAUUUAACUUUUAAGUUAAAAGGCUUAAAUUUAACUAAAAGACGAGAAGACCCUAUAGAUCUUUAUAUUUUUAUUAUUAAAUUUAAUUAAGAAUUUUUAAAAUUUUAUUAAUUUAAAUAUUUUAUUGGGGUAAUAUAAAGAUUAAAAUAAUUCUUUUUUUUUAUUAACAUUAAUUUAUGAUUUUUAUGAUCCAAUUAUAUUGAUUUUAAGAUUAAGUUACCUUAGGGAUAACAGCGUAAUUUUUUUAGAGAGUUCUUAUCGAUAAAAAAGUUUGCGACCUCGAUGUUGGAUUAAAGAUUAUUUUAGGUGCAGAAGUUUAAAAAUUUUGGUCUGUUCGACCAUUAAAUCUUUACAUGAUCUGAGUUCAGACCGGUGUAAGCCAGGUCGGUUUCUAUCUUUAGUAAAUUAAAAUAUUUCAGUACGAAAGGACCAAUUAUUUAAUAUAAAUAUUUAUAUUUUGAUUAUUAUUAA
RNAcentral lists this ribosomal RNA (633 nucleotides) under Nebria charlottae. Its description in RNAcentral is "partial large subunit ribosomal RNA". The stretch from base 389 to 548 matches the Rfam family "Bacterial large subunit ribosomal RNA", at positions 2473 to 2632 of the family's 2925-position model. Lineage: Eukaryota; Metazoa; Arthropoda; Insecta; Coleoptera; Carabidae. RNAcentral also lists the same sequence under 3 other names. The record is from RNAcentral.